This 301-nucleotide ribosomal RNA is filed under the name uncultured bacterium. RNAcentral describes it as "partial 16S ribosomal RNA". It matches the Rfam family "Bacterial small subunit ribosomal RNA", at positions 509 to 807 of the family's 1533-position model. The record is from RNAcentral.
CAGCAGCCGCGGUAACACGAAGGGUGCAAGCGUUAAUCGGAAUUACUGGGCGUAAAGCGUGCGUAGGCGGUGAGUUAAGUCUGCUGUGAAAUCCCCGGGCUCAACCUGGGAAUGGCAGUGGAUACUGGCUCGCUAGAGUGUGUCAGAGGAUGGUGGAAUUCCCGGUGUAGCGGUGAAAUGCGUAGAGAUCGGGAGGAACAUCAGUGGCGAAGGCGGCCAUCUGGGACAACACUGACGCUGAGGCACGAAAGCGUGGGGAGCAAACAGGAUUAGAUACCCGCGUAGUCCCUGUCUCUUAUAC